UUACGGCCAUAUUACGGUGAAACAGUGGUUCUCGUACGAUCACCGAAGUUAAGCAACGUCGAGCCUGCUCAGUACCUAAAUGGGUGAUCGGUUGGGAAUACCAGGUGCUGUAAG
Acanthosepion pharaonis is the source of this 114-nucleotide non-coding RNA. Lineage: Eukaryota; Metazoa; Mollusca; Cephalopoda; Sepiida; Sepiidae. The record is from the annotation of a GenBank genome assembly.